GACGAACGCUGGCGGCGUGCUUAACACAUGCAAGUCGAGCGGUAAGGCCCUUUCGGGGGUACACGAGCGGCGAACGGGUGAGUAACACGUGGGUGACCUGCCCUCAGCUCUGGGAUAAGCCUGGGAAACUGGGUCUAAUACUGGAUAUGACUCCACGGUGCAUGUCGUGGGGUGGAAAGCCUUGUGCGGCUGAGGAUGGGCCCGCGGCCUAUCAGCUUGUUGGGGGGUGAUGGCCUACCAAGGCGACGACGGGUAGCCGGCCUGAGAGGGCGACCGGCCACACUGGGACUGAGACACGGCCCAGACUCCUACGGGAGGCAGCAGUGGGGAAUCUUGCGCAAUGGGCGAAAGCCUGACGCAGCGACGCCGCGUGAGGGAUGACGGCCUGGUGUAA
RNAcentral lists this ribosomal RNA (394 nucleotides) under uncultured bacterium. Its description in RNAcentral is "bacterial SSU rRNA". It matches the Rfam family "Bacterial small subunit ribosomal RNA", at positions 28 to 428 of the family's 1533-position model. The record is from RNAcentral.